UACGAAGGGGGCUAGCGUUGUUCGGAAUUACUGGGCGUAAAGCGCGCGCAGGUGGUCUUUCAAGUCAGUGGUGAAAGCCCGGAGCUCAACUCCGGAAAUGCCAUUGAAACUGUAAGACCUGAGGAUGAGAGAGGUGAGUGGAAUUCCCAGUGUAGAGGUGAAAUUCGUAGAUAUUGGGAAGAACACCGGUGGCGAAGGCGGCUCACUGGCUCAUAUCUGACGCUCAGGCGCGACAGCGUGGGGAUCAAACAGG
This 253-nucleotide ribosomal RNA is filed under the name uncultured bacterium. Its description in RNAcentral is "partial 16S ribosomal RNA". It matches the Rfam family "Bacterial small subunit ribosomal RNA", at positions 524 to 776 of the family's 1533-position model. The record is from RNAcentral.